GACGAACGCUGGCGGCGUGCUUAACACAUGCAAGUCGAGCGCACCCUUCGGGGUGAGCGGCGGACGGGUGAGUAACGCGUGGGAACGUGCCCUUCUCUGCGGAAUAGCCUCGGGAAACUGAGAGUAAUACCGCAUACGCCCUUUGGGGGAAAGAUUUAUCGGAGAAGGAUCGGCCCGCGUUGGAUUAGGUAGUUGGUGGGGUAAUGGCCCACCAAGCCGACGAUCCAUAGCUGGUUUGAGAGGAUGAUCAGCCACACUGGGACUGAGACACGGCCCAGACUCCUACGGGAGGCAGCAGUGGGGAAUCUUAGACAAUGGGGGCAACCCUGAUCUAGCCAUGCCGCGUGAGUGAUGAAGGCCUUAGGGUUGUAAAGCUCUUUCAGCUGGGAAGAUAAUGACGGUACCAGCAGAAGAAGCCCCGGCUAACUCCGUG
Molecule: ribosomal RNA, 433 nt
Filed under: uncultured bacterium
Lineage: Bacteria
Description: partial 16S ribosomal RNA
Rfam family: Bacterial small subunit ribosomal RNA
Source: RNAcentral